UGUCGUGAGAUGUUGGGUUAAGUCCGUAACGAGCGCAACCCUGUCCUUAGUUACCAGCACGUUAUGGUGGGCACUCUAAGGAGACUGCCGGUGACAAACCGGAGGAAGGUGGGGAUGACGUCAAGUCAUCAUGGCCCUUACGGCCUGGGCUACACACGUGCUACAAUGGUCGGUACAAAGGGUUGCCAAGCCGCGAGGUGGAGCUAAUCCCAUAAAACCGAUCGUAGUCCGGAUCGCAGUCUGCAACUCGACUGCGUGAAGUCGGAAUCGCUAGUAAUCGUGAAUCAGAAUGUCACGGUGAAUACGUUCCCGGGCCUU
Molecule: ribosomal RNA, 318 nt
Filed under: uncultured Pseudomonas sp.
Lineage: Bacteria; Pseudomonadati; Pseudomonadota; Gammaproteobacteria; Pseudomonadales; Pseudomonadaceae
Description: bacterial SSU rRNA
Rfam family: Bacterial small subunit ribosomal RNA
Source: RNAcentral